GACGAACGCUGGCGGCGUGCUUAACACAUGCAAGUCGAACGGAAAGGCCCUGCUUUUUUGGGGUGCUCGAGUUGCGAACGGGUGAGUAACACUUUAGUAACCUUCCCUUUACUUUGUGAUAACUUCAGGAAACUUGGGCUAAUACCGGAUAGGAGCUCCUGCUGCUUGGUGGGGGUUGGAAAGUUUCGGCGGUUGGGGAUGUACUCGCGGCUUAUCAGCUUGUUGGUGGGGUAGUGGCUUACCAAGGCUUUGACGGGUAGCCGGACUGUGAGGGGAACCGGCCACAAUAGGACUGAGAUACGGCACAGACUCGUACGGGAGGCAACAGUGGGGAAUAUUACACAAUGGGCGGGAGGCUGAUGCAAAAACGCAGCGUGCGGGAAGAAGGCCAUCGGGUUGUAAACCGAAUUCGCCUGUGACGAAGCGUGAGUGACGGUAAUGGGAAAAGAAGCACCGGCUAACUACGUG
RNAcentral lists this ribosomal RNA (468 nucleotides) under uncultured bacterium. RNAcentral's name for it is "partial 16S ribosomal RNA". It matches the Rfam family "Bacterial small subunit ribosomal RNA", at positions 28 to 507 of the family's 1533-position model. The record is from RNAcentral.